Mycena capillaripes is the source of this 92-nucleotide non-coding RNA. Lineage: Eukaryota; Fungi; Basidiomycota; Agaricomycetes; Agaricales; Mycenaceae. The record is from the annotation of a GenBank genome assembly.
GCCUUUGUGGAUCAUGGGGAUCACAUCGUGUAAAUUUGCUUUCCAGAUAUUCGAUUAUUGAGCAAGCGGAGGUUCGAUUCCUCCCGGAGGCA